Molecule: long non-coding RNA, 2037 nt
Organism: Harpia harpyja (harpy eagle)
Lineage: Eukaryota; Metazoa; Chordata; Aves; Accipitriformes; Accipitridae
Exons: 4
Source: RefSeq, a predicted model, not a curated record
AUGACAUCUAAGGGAGAAAACAAACAAACAUUAAUUAGCGAGAUGCUUUGAUUCUAAUUUGGUCUAGGAUGCAAUGACACCAGAAAAUAUUAUAGCACUAAGCUAGUGCAUGUUUUACUAACACACGAGACAUGCAUUUGUUGUUUAAUUUUAGAUCUGCAACAUAAAUCUAUUAAUAAUGCAUUUUAAUCUUUUACUAAUGUAUACUGAUUUUUGUCCUAGAUCAAAACAGACUCCUGCUUAUGUUCAUUUUACAGUUGUUUUCUUGCUGUUUUGAUUCAGCACUGGGGUUAGUUUCCUGCAUCUGGAGACCUUUGCCUGUGUGGCACAAGGCGGAACACACAUUUUAAGUGUUAUAGACUUUGUCAAUGUACCCUGUGAGUCUUGUUCACUGCAGCUUGACAGCAUUUGCCUUCUUCACCCUGACAAUUCCUUUGCUAUGGACCAGCUGUUUCCAGAUUAUUCACAUCUUUUUGGAACUCUUCUCCAUCUGUCUUUACAAAUCCUCUUUGGAAUCCUUCAUUGAUAAAGUGCAUUGCUGAUUUUGCCAAAUGCCCUUUGACAUUUCAUUAGGAUAAAAGUGAAACUAGUAUGUUCUAUUGUCCCAGCCUGUGGCAACAAAACUGUCCUGGCUGAAACUUCUGACUUGGUGGUGACAAGUACUUCAUAAGAGAAAGUGUUGGGAAAGCUUAGACAGUGUGACUGCCCAGUCCACUGGCUGUGUAAUGGCAUUGCAGAGGCUCAGCUGGGCAACCUACACCACAGCAGAAGGCUUGACCUGUCCCAUGUGCUCUACGGUAAACUUCUUUGCAAGAUUAUAUGGCCAGACACCAGCAAUGUGUUAAAUGUUCUUAAAUUUCUGAUCUUGAGAGUGCUGCGCACUGGGCUGCGCAGAGUAAGCUCAUGUAACUGUUCUGAGAAUGUCAGUUCAUGGUUUCUGGCAGCUUGUCAGGGUGGUUUCAACAAAUGUUUAAAAAAAUGCCUGAAAUGCAACUUAAAAGCAUAUGAAUUGAACCCAGCUGUUGUGAAGAAACACCGUAAGACACUGUAAGGUUGUACCCAAUUGGUGGUGUUGGCAUAAACUAUUUUGAAAUACGAGGUGCUGACAUUCUCUGUAAGAAAGGUGAGUAGCAGAAUGCAAGAAUCUGCAGCCUGCUGUGAUCACAGGCCAUCUCAUUUGUUCCACGUGCAACCUGUUUGCAGCUCUCUUUUCAGUCUGCUCUUCAUCUGCAUAUUCCCCUUUACUAUAUUAAAAAUUCUCUUAUAUUGCUAUUGUGUGAUAGCUCAUCCAGCUAUCCAUCCCCUCUGCUUCUUAGUUAGAAUCAGUCCCUGAUUCUAUGCAUGCAGAUAAUUUAGUCACCAGAGUAACACAGCUACUGAUGUAUUCUAGGCAAGGUGUUACAAGCCUGGGUCUCAGUCUGACCUGGAUCUGGAAAAUUUCAGGAGGCAUCAUGAAGAAACUGUGAUCACAAAACUCUUCUGUUGCCCUUCAACCAACUUCACAUCCCCCAUAGGAGCAGUUUUUGUUUAUGCAUUCAUCCUUGAGAUUCAGAUUUUAUACUCUUGCAGUCUCCUGAAGAUCUGUGAAGUAAUGCUUAUAUCAUCGGUAGGAUCCUGAGCAAUCUAUAUUUUCCACUGCUUCAUCAUUGCUAAGAAGUACAGGAUUAAAAGCAAAGCGUGCACAUGAGCAGUGGAGUCAAUGGAAUUCAGUGAUGCAACCAGUAAAUUAUUCCAUCUGUGACUGCAACUAUGAAGUCUUGUUUUUAAAGAUCUAGGAUGGCUAGGUGGCCUUUUUUUUUUAUAUAUAUAUAUAAACACUGACACUCUGAAGCAAACCUGAAAAAAUCAACAGUAUGCCAAGUCACAGUGCUUGUCCAUUCCCCAAUUAAUUCAACUCUCCCAGACUGUGUUCAUCCUAGUUAUGUGAACACAGCCAUUCUGGUGCAAGACAGACAUGCACAAAAAGUCAAUUUAGCAUGCUAGAAUAAGCCGCUUGCUUUUCAACAGUAAGUGCAGAAAUGACUGCAUACCAUCAGU